RNAcentral lists this non-coding RNA (96 nucleotides) under bovine gut metagenome. RNAcentral describes it as "SAM riboswitch (S box leader)". It matches the Rfam family "SAM riboswitch aptamer (S box leader)". From Rfam's summary of the family: The SAM riboswitch is found upstream of a number of genes which code for proteins involved in methionine or cysteine biosynthesis in Gram-positive bacteria. The record is from RNAcentral.
CUUAUCCGGAGUGACCGAGGGAACAGGCCCUAUGACGUCCGGCAACCUACCUUUGCGGCAAGGUGCUAAUUCCUGCGGUCUGACCGAAAGAUGAGG